GACGAACGCUGGCGGCGUGCCUAAUACAUGCAAGUAGAACGCUGAAGGAGGAGCUUGCUUCUCUGGAUGAGUUGCGAACGGGUGAGUAACGCGUAGGUAACCUGCCUGGUAGCGGGGGAUAACUAUUGGAAACGAUAGCUAAUACCGCAUAAGAGUAGAUGUUGCAUGACAUUUGCUUAAAAGGUGCAAUUGCAUCACUACCAGAUGGACCUGCGUUGUAUUAGCUAGUUGGUGGGGUAACGGCUCACCAAGGCGACGAUCCAUAGCCGACCUGAGAGGGUGAUCGGCCACACUGGGACUGAGACACGGCCCAGACUCCUACGGGAGGCAGCAGUAGGGAAUCUUCGGCAAUGGACGGAAGUCUGACCGAGCAACGCCGCGUGAGUGAAGAAGGUUUUCGGAUCGUAAAGCUCUGUUGUAAGAGAAGAACGAGUGUGAGAGUGGAAAGUUCACACUGUGACGGUAUCUUACCAGAAAGGGACGGCUAACUACGUG
RNAcentral lists this ribosomal RNA (495 nucleotides) under uncultured bacterium. Its description in RNAcentral is "partial 16S ribosomal RNA". It matches the Rfam family "Bacterial small subunit ribosomal RNA", at positions 28 to 507 of the family's 1533-position model. The record is from RNAcentral.